RNAcentral lists this long non-coding RNA (939 nucleotides) under Homo sapiens (human). RNAcentral's name for it is "HSALNT0277796". The record is from RNAcentral. Lineage: Eukaryota; Metazoa; Chordata; Mammalia; Primates; Hominidae.
GUUUACUUCUGUUUUCACCUGCAAGUGCCUACUGAUAAUAACACACGCUAUCCUUUUCCCUAACAGGCUAUGUGAGUCAAGGAUGGAACGAUGGUCCCAGAACAUCCCAGGAGGGUGUGACAGCCUCCAUCUAGAAGGUUCUAUCCUCAGGUCCCCAAGGCAUCUGCAGCACACCGUCCUCUGCUGUGGGUCUGUGAAGCAGCCACUCCAGCAGCAGGACAGUGGUGCCUGUCCAUUCCCUCUGCUAGCUGCCAGCCCUGCUGUCCUCCGCACUUUCUGGCAACCUCACUGUAUGAAACUCCCCAAAUCCUCCUCCACGUCAAGUGUCAAAACAGCCCAGUUUAAGUGCUUUCAGGAUUUCCACGGAGCCUGACCGCAAAGAGGUGAGCACAUUUAAGCCCCUACUCCCAGCCCAGCCCCCUGCAUCAGAGUUCCAGGGCUGACUCUGCAGAGGGGAAGCAGCCUCCUCCCAGAGGCAGGCACACAGUAGGUGCUCAAGCAAUAGGAUUUCUGCCAUUUCCACACUUUUGGAAGAACCUGCCCAUCCCCCAUCCUCUGCCCGCUCUCAAGGACCGUCAUCCUGAACUUGGCUCCCACUCACGCGGACGAGCCCUCCAGCUUGCCGUAGAGCCAGCCGUUCUGGGCCUCGGGCACCAACACCUCCACCACGUCCCCAGCGGAGAAGCGCAGCAGCGUGUGGUUGGCGCCCUCCGAGUGGGAGACCAGGGCGCGGACUCUCCUGGCGCCCCCGCCGCCGCCCGGGCGCUCGCCAAAGGAGUUGGAGCGCGAGCUUUGGGCGCUGCCGCUGUAGAGCGAGGCUGUGGGCGGGAGAGCGCGGCGGCACGUGGGCAGGAAGUUCUUCCUGGCGUCUGCCCUCGAUCCCUCCUGCUGCAGCCCCACCCCCGCGCCUCUCCCGGCCCUCCUGCCGCCCCGGGGCGG